AGCAGCCGCGGUAAUUCCAGCUCCAAUAGCGUAUAUUAAAGUUGUUGCAGUUAAAAAGCUCGUAGUUGAAUUUCGGGAUCAAUAUGCUGGUCGUGCCAUUGGUACGUACUAGUAUUAAUUGGUUUCUCCCUUCUGAUGAAUCAUGAUGUCAUUAAUUUGAUGUCAUGUGGAAUCAGGACUGUUACUUUGAAAAAUUAGAGUGUUUAAAGCAGGCUCGCGCUUGAAUACAUUAGCAUGGAAUAAUGAAAUAGGACGUUUGAUUCUAUUUUGUUGGUUUCUAGGAUUGACGUAAUGAUUAAUAGGGAUAGUUGGGGGCAUUAGUAUUCAAUUGUCAGAGGUGAAAUUCUUGGAUUUAUUGAAGACUAACUACUGCGAAAGCAUUGACCAAGGAUGUUUUCAUUAAUCAAGAACGAAAGUUA
This 419-nucleotide ribosomal RNA is filed under the name uncultured Glomus. Its description in RNAcentral is "SSU rRNA". It matches the Rfam family "Eukaryotic small subunit ribosomal RNA", at positions 569 to 992 of the family's 1831-position model. Lineage: Eukaryota; Fungi; Glomeromycota; Glomeromycetes; Glomerales; Glomeraceae. The record is from RNAcentral.